AAGACUUUAUCUUAAUAAAAGUAUUUGAUUUGCAUUCAAAAGAUGAGGGUUAAUCAUUCUCAAGUCUUA
Molecule: transfer RNA, 69 nt
Filed under: Allobates sumtuosus
Lineage: Eukaryota; Metazoa; Chordata; Amphibia; Anura; Aromobatidae
Description: tRNA-Ala
Rfam family: tRNA
About the family: Transfer RNA (tRNA) molecules are approximately 80 nucleotides in length. Their secondary structure includes four short double-helical elements and three loops (D, anti-codon, and T loops).
Source: RNAcentral